AAGAGUUAGAAUUUUUAAUAUUUUAGCUGUUUCCAUGGUAACGGCAGCCAUUUUGAAAAUUUCAAAGUCAAACUGCAAAUCAGCACAUGCCAGUAACCAUUCCUGUGGAGUUUCUUACAGUUUGGAACACUUUGAUUUUUUUCGCAUUUUUGCUGUUUCCAUGGAAACGGCGGCCAUUUUUUACCAUUCCAUAGCAAGGUGCACAACUUUACAUGGGGGUCCUUAUUAUAGUAGAGUUCCAUCAACAUUGGUCCAUUGGAUUCCAAGAACUCGCGCGGACAAAAUGUGUGGAAGAAAAAUAAGAAAAAAAAAGAAACGUAGAAUAACAAUAUGUCACCCCAACUCAGUUGAGGGUGCCAUAA
Long non-coding RNA from Mytilus californianus (California mussel), 362 nucleotides. RefSeq lists it as uncharacterized. Lineage: Eukaryota; Metazoa; Mollusca; Bivalvia; Mytilida; Mytilidae. The record is from RefSeq and is a predicted model, not a curated record. The transcript has 2 exons.